CCUACGGGUGGCAGCAGUGAGGAAUAUUGGUCAAUGGGCGCGAGCCUGAACCAGCCAAGUCGCGUGAAGGAAGACGGCCCUCGGGCUUGUAAACUUCUUUUUUAAGGGAGUAAAAUGAGCCACGUGUGCCAUUUUGUAUGUACGUUAUGAAUUAGCAUCGGCUAACUCCGUGCCAGCAGCCGCGGUAAUACGGAGGAUCCGAGCGUUAUCCGGAUUUAAUGGGUUUAAAGGGAGCGGAGAUGGGUAGUAAAGUCAGUUGGGAAAGUUCGCGGGUCAAACGUCAGAGUGCCAUUGAUACUGGCAGGCUUGAGUGCAGGAGAGGUAGGCGGAAUUCGUGGUGUAGCGGUGAAAUGCUUAGAUAUAACGAAGAACUCCGAUUGCGAAGGCAGCUUACUAGACUGCAACUGACACUGAUGCUCGAAAGUGUGGGUAGCAAACAGGAUUAGAUACCCCAGUAGUC
Molecule: ribosomal RNA, 460 nt
Filed under: uncultured bacterium
Lineage: Bacteria
Description: partial 16S ribosomal RNA
Rfam family: Bacterial small subunit ribosomal RNA
Source: RNAcentral